RNAcentral lists this ribosomal RNA (425 nucleotides) under uncultured bacterium. RNAcentral describes it as "bacterial SSU rRNA". It matches the Rfam family "Bacterial small subunit ribosomal RNA", at positions 356 to 773 of the family's 1533-position model. The record is from RNAcentral.
GGGGAAUUUUGGACAAUGGGCGCAAGCCUGAUCCAGCAAUGCCGCGUGAGUGAAGAAGGCCUUCGGGUUGUAAAGCUCUUUCGGACGGAAAGAAAUCGGUGGGGUGAAUAAUCCUGCUGGAUGACGGUACCGUAAGAAGAAGCACCGGCUAACUACGUGCCAGCAGCCGCGGUAAUACGUAGGGUGCGAGCGUUAAUCGGAAUUACUGGGCGUAAAGCGUGCGCAGGCGGCGCUGUAAGACAGGUGUGAAAUCCCCGGGCUUAACCUGGGAAUGGCGCUUGUGACUGCAGUGCUCGAGUGCGGCAGAGGGGGGUGGAAUUCCACGUGUAGCAGUGAAAUGCGUAGAGAUGUGGAGGAACACCGAUGGCGAAGGCAGCCCCCUGGGUCGACACUGACGCUCAUGCACGAAAGCGUGGGGAGCAAAC